UUAUUCACAGGUGAUGUGUCCAGUUGUGUGGCGGGAUGAAUACAUUCUUAUUAAUUAUUAAAUCGCUCAGAUGGUCCUCCUCCCCAAACCUGACAUUUACUGAAAAAAAGUAAUUGAAAAGGAUUUGGCCAGUUCCACUCCCUGUGUUCAAACGUUAUAUAACAGACAACUCCACCUCUCUGCUCCCUCUCUCUCUGUCUCUGCUUUCAGGCUAACACACAGUUUAUUGGGUAUCAAUAAAACAUAAGAAUUACUGCUGGUAUAACAAUAGCACCUCUUUGCAACCUUCAGCCUGCUUAGCUCCCAGGAAUAGCGUGCUAAUGAGGGUGUGCAGUGUUUUGGACAGAUGCUAGAGCGUUAUGCUGGGCUGAUAACUGCAUCUCUUGGAUCAAACACUGUGCUGGGAUGACUCAUGCCUUUUACUAAUUUAUAAGAGCAGUCUUCCUUGAAAUCCCAAUGUAAAUACUAGUGCCCUGUUCUCUGUGAGUGACUACAGCCUUGAAGUCAACAAAAGUAAUGGGCACUCUGCGUGGUGUAACUAGUCACCAACGUAUUCCUUUUUAUCCCCUGGAUGAUAUAUUUGAAUUUUGCGUUGUUUUGCCUUGGUUUAAAUUUUUACUCUUUUUUUCCCAGGGGCUGUAUGAACACAAGGACCACAUAGCCCGAAGAGGAGCAAGGACAGUGGACAAGAGCAACACAAAAAGGCUGAGCCUUAGUUUUGAAAAGAGGGAGGCUGGAGCUGUAUUGCAAGCCAGAUGGUUUGGAUGCACAUAAUUCCCUAACUUAAAAUCAGGGUUCAUUUACUGCAUGUGUUUCCUUUACAGGAUGGUCACUAAACAGGAUGGUAUCCUGUUCACACCUGUCAGGAGUGAGAAAUGAGGAUUUAAAAAAUCAGACUCAGUACAUUUCCUUUUCCAUUUUGACUGAAGAGAUAUUUACAAGUUUUUCUAUCUUCCUGGCUUGUAUUGUUUUUUAUAUCCCUGUAAUUAUUCUGUGCAAACAAGGUGUUCGUGCACUGGCAUGACUAGAUAAAAAUACUAGAUACCCCAUUGUACUUGCUAAAGACAUUGGGCAAACCUGAGAGUGAAGACAUGGUUUACAUCUUCCCUUACUGCCAAACAGUGGUUUAGCUGAGCAUAAAAGAAGAUUCCCAAAGUGCCUGAGCAAAGCCAUUUUCACAGCCGGUUUCAAGCACCUUUGCUUUUAGGUCAAUGAGCAUUGCUAUCCACAGUGUGACAUCCUCAUCCAAGCCCAGAGUCCUGCAGGACAGGAUGGGAUAACUCACCGGUCAUGGCCCUCUCACUGAUUCUAAAGGGAAGGUAAAUGAUGAGCUCAGACCACACAUCAGAUCUUCAGGUACCUAGAAAUAGAUGAGAGGACCCCCUGAACUGGAACAGAACCAGUUGCUUUGUCAGCAGUGAGCUAUCAGCAAGGUACUGAUGUGAAGCUGAGAUGUAAAAUCCUAAAGUCCCACAUCCCAUUGCUAUCAUUAAUAUCACAAACUGUGAGAAAUCUGUAUGUGCUGACAGUGAUUUUUCAAGGUAAGUAGGAAUCUCUUUUCCCCCAUGUCUUGUAACACAGCCAUUUUAGGCAGAUCCCUUUCCCUCAGUUACUCCAGACACCUCUUUGACCACAAGCUUGCCACCAAGGAGGGUCCACUCUUCCACAACCUGUGAUAAGUGCUUUUGUAGGCUACUUCAGGGUUCAGCUUGAUUUUAAUUCUCUCUCUCUUUUUUUUUUUUUUCUCAUCAUGUCCUGAGAUGAAGUGGGGCUGGCACCAACUUCAGAUAUCAAACUGUUAAAGAACUGAAGUAGGUUGAGAAGGAUUGACCCAUGGCAAAGGGAAGAAGAAUGAAACCGGGACCCAAAGCAUUGACACCUCCCGCUACUCGAAAGCAUCUCUGCUGGGUUUGCAUCUAUUCUGAAAACUAGCCAUGUGCUGGAGGACACUUCUCCAGGAACCAGCUGGUCCUCACAGGCCACCUAUCCCAGCACGUGCUCAGCAAUUUAAGGCAGAAACUCUACCCUGCUAAUGUCUCUAGGCUGAAUAGCUUCCUUCUCAUGGUGUGAGUGCAGCCUUGCUCUAUGGUACAUCACAGAUACUCAGAUGAAACUGUCUGCAGUCUGUUGACAGAUAUGGUACUUCUAGUCUAUACAUGGAAUGUGUGAUUUGCACAAGAAAUAGAAGCAGUAGUUCCCUGUGUACAAAACCCCACCCAAUUUACAAGUAUUGUCAUGACCAAAAUCACAGUUAGAUUAUUAUUGGGGAAAUAAUAUUAUGAUUCUGUCUCUAGAAAGUGUUGCUGAAGUUUCGACUUUGGGAAACCCUUUCUGCCACAUUUGAUUACAAAUGACUGUCACAUGCUUACCACCCUUACUGCUCCUUCUCUCCAAAAAUUCCCAACAAUCAAACCUCAGCAAAGAAGUGGCCUGCUCAAACAGCAUUUUGAAACAGUGCCUGAAGGUUUCACUAAUCCUGUUGAACUUAUGUGGAUGGUGCUCUGGUGUUUGAGGGGAACCACAUGCUGUGUGAAAGUGCCCCAGGGCAGACCAAGGUAAUGGGCAGAUGUGCAUAGUCUUGUGUUACAUAUCUAUCUAGAUGACAUGUUUGUAUGUCAAAGCUGCCAUGACUUCUGAAAAUCAGUAUAUUAUUCCCUUUGAAAGUGCAUUUGCCUGUCGUCAUGAUGUACAUACUGAUCAAGAUUUCAAAGUCACCAGAGGUCUCACAAUUCCCACUUAUGAUGAAUGGGAUGAGUCUGAAUCCACACUGAAAAAACUGAACUAUUUGUCCCUAGUUUUUGGACUUUUGCGCAUAAUUUUCCCUUAAGGUGAUAUGGACUUGUAAAUGCUCAGCUUUCACAAAAAACAGUGUCUGAACAACCUGGUAAAAUGAGAGUCUGUACUGCAAUGGGGGAGAAAGGAACGUAGGAGAGGACCAGAGCUGCUGCGCUGGAGCAUAUACUGUGAUGCAUGCACUUGCUUGGGGCUUGAUUUAAAAAGAAAUCUGUUCCCAAAGAAAACAAUGAGAUUUUUACGUUUUGACUGACUGAAGCCUUGAUGCUGUUCCACAGCAUGAGAGCAGCAUCCUUCCUUAGAAAGACAUCAGCAGUCCCAAGUGGCUAUUUCUGCUUUUGUAGUGAGAGAGAAAAUGGCAAGUGAGAGAAAGAGAAAAUGAAAUGCCUCUGACAAGAAAACAAUGUGCCAGAAGCAACUCCUUCAAAUACAGAAAAUGACGACACUUCUGGAGUGAAAUGCAGGAAGAAAAUAUGCAACUCAAGGCAAAAGAGUUCCAUCAGAGAUGGCUUUAGCCCAAGGACUUAUGCAAAACAGGUCCAUCAUGUCUCCAGUUUAGCAAGAAAAAGCAAAGGAACAAGAGAGUAGAGGAUAACUCCAAUGGGGAAAGCAACUAGCCCUUGCAUGAGUGGCUUUUAGGCCUGAGCAUAUGCAUUAGACAUAUUAAUUUCCUCAAACUGUAUAUUUUCAUGGCUCUUUCCUCUAUGGCUUACAUGUAUGUGUUAGAAUCAGUUCUGUCUUAUCAUCAUUGCCAUGGUUACCUUAUCAUUAUUGUAUGUAUGUGUUGCUGUAUUGCUAUUGCAGAUGUCUUACCAAAGUUCCCUAAAGCUAAAUGAUCCCAGAACUUACUCUGCACACAUCCCAAACUGCUAAGCAUUUGUAUCUUUUAUGAUCUGUUUCACAGCUAAAACAAAGUUGGCUUGAACAUCUCUGCUGAAAUAAAGCAGAGAACAAAUUACUCCAUACAUCAUCUUUACCAUAAACCAAUUCCUUACAUCAAAUGCAAAAAACCCCUUCUACUUAACUGGACUUCUCAGCAGCCUGAUUUGCCUUUACUUCCAUUACUACAUUGCCAAAAAUCACAGGAUUGUUGAUGUCUGCAGCAGGGAAGACAUGUCAGUCUCUGAAAUGAGGCUGUCAUGAUAUAGCAAACACAGAGGUCAUUAUAGCAGGGUAGGGCACAUCUCAAAGGCCAGGACAGAGAAAAGUUUGUGUUUGGGAUGAAAAAAUCUUUGCUGGGAGCAUGAUGCUACAGGGCUACAAAAAUUGUCAGAGAGAUGGAACACCUCUCCUAUGAUGAUAGACUGAGAGAGCUGGAGUUGUUCAGCCCAGAGAAGACUCUGGGUAGACCUUGUUGUGGCUUUUAAAUGCUUAAAAGGAGCUUAUAGGAAAGAUGGCAAAAGACUUUUUAGUAGGACCUAUAGCAAUAGGACAAGGAGUAAUGUUUUUAAACUAAAAGAGGGUAGAUUCAGACUAGAUAUAGGAAAGAAAUAUUUUAUGAUGAGGGCAGCGAAACACUGAAACGGGUUGCCCAGAGAGGUUGUAGAUGCCCCAUCCCUGGAAACGCUUAAGGAUAGGUUGGAUAGGUCUCUGAGCAACCUGAUCUAGUGGAAGAUGUCCCUUCUUAUUGCAGGAGGGGUUGGACUAGAUGACCUCUGAAGAUCCCUUCUGACUCAAACCCUUCUAUGAUUCUAUGCAGUCUUUCAGAAUAGAAUUGGGGAAACCCAGAUGUUAACAUCUGGUUUUAAUCCAAACUCUGUAUUAACUUCCAAUGGACAAAUGAGUGCAGAACUCUCAUCCUAAAGAGUAACUCAGCUCAGCACUAACAACCAGAUUUUUCAUGCUAUUUAUCCUUAUUAUAACAACUACUCCUUACUACAUACACAAGCAGAGGCUUUGAAUAUGUUGUGAUAAUGAAUGUCAUUAUGACGUUAGAGUACAAUGGUGUGAAGAAAGUGAUUCAUCACUGGUAAGAGACAAACAAACAAAUUUAUUGGAUGAUACAUUGCCUAGAUGCACAAUUCUAAGUUUAUAAGCAAGAGGUUAUGUAUUGUUCCACAGCUGUAGUCUAGUAUUACCAAACUAGAGAAUACCAAAUACAUUUAAGAUUUUUGUAAUAAUUCCCAUGAUAAGAGGAAUGAAAUCUUAAACAAAUAGAAGUAAAUAGCAGAACCUCUAAGUGGAAAGUAGUAAUUGUAGCAGUGAAACUUUUCUGUUUAAGUUAAGGAUGACUCACAAUUUGUCAGUAAGUGCAGCUAACUGACCGUCUUUUUAAGUGGAAGUGGAAACUGGGACAUAAGGUCAUCAUGAUACAGCAAAUACAGAGAUCAUCAUACUUUUUAACUAGAGACAAAUAAGGCAACACUUGUCUUGUCACAUGUUCAAAUUACACAUCACUACCCCAGACUGACAGUGAUCCCAUCACUCCACUAUACCUGCAGUUAUGGGCCAUGGAAAGAACUACUAUUAUGUGGUAAAAUUUUCAUAACUCUUCAUAGAUAUUGCUCUAUCCUCUGCUAGCACCCAGGAGGUUUUGUCUGAAUGUUCGUUGCUUUGAGAUGCCUCAAAGAUGCCUGGUUUGCUGGGAAGGCCCAGCUGAAUGAUUGCUAACCUGGGGACAUCUUGACGUUGGAAGCAGGUUUUCAUUUCAGGGAGAUGCAGAGACAAAAGGGCUCGGGCUGCCAGCUGGGCUCUCCUGGGCAAGUUGGGGCAUCUCUUGGGAUUGAGUGUGUGUGAAUAGAUUUUUCCUAACAGAAACAACCUUCUGGCUCUAAAAAAUUUAGAUUCUUGGUGUCAGGUAUUUGUCUUUUUUUUCACCAUCCAUCUGGGAAAUGCAGAUUGUGUUCAUUACGCCAAACAACUUUCAAGGGUCCGUGCUGCCUGGAAAACUGCACUGAAGUUCAAGAUAGGUUGUCCUGUCCCUACAGCAGAAACUGGAUUCCCCAGCUGGUGACAUGCUUUCCUUUCUUCAGGCUUUACUGCAGUGAGUCCAGAAAAAGGACAAGAAGAUGAUUCUCAGACUCACUCCAGUAUGUCAAUGUAUCUUGUGUACUGGAGACAGCAGACCUGGACCCAGAACUCCAGAUAUCUUACCAGGGCUGAGAAGAGAGGAAGAAUCAGCUCCCUCAAUAUGCUGGCAAUGCUCUUCGUAAUGCACCCCAGGAUACUGUUGGGGUUUUUUGCCACAAGGGCACAUUGCUGCCUCAUGCUCAGCUCAGUGUCUACCAGGACCUCCAGGUCCUUCUCAGCAAAGCUUCUUUCCAGUUGAUCAGCUCCUCUCGUAUACUGGUGCCUGGGAUUGUUCAUCCUCAGGGGCAGGACUUCACUUUUCCACUUGUUGAAAUUCAUAUGCUUCCUGUUAGCCCAUUUUUCUAGCCUCUGCAGGUCCCUCGGAAUGUUACCACACCUCUAGGAUGUAUCGUCCACUCUCCCUAAUUUCAUAUUGUCUGUGAAAUUACUGAGGGUGCACUGCUUCCCAUCAUCCAGGGUUCUAAUGAAGAUGUUAACCAGUACUGGCCCCAGUACAGACCCGUGGGGUGCACUGCUAGUCAAUUCCCUACAUUUGACCCCAUUGUUCAGACAGUUUUCAAUCCACCUCAUCAGCUUGACAGUGUUUGUUAAUUCCUGCUAGUCCUAAGGAGUUACCUAAUGGAGCCUGUGAGAUGGGACUACUGUGCAGGUCCCUCUCCUUUUCCGGCUGAGUCCAGGCAUUCAUGAGAUAGACUGGUGACUAACAUGCAGCCUGUCCUGAUUGUUUAGGAAAGUACAGUUUGUAACCGGAAUUGAAGAGGUCUGGUGAAUCCCACAACAUAAUAACUGAGUUAAAUGUAAAUUAUUUCAUCAUUUGUGAAAUUUCAAAGAUGCAUGUGCUCUUAUAAACAAAUUGAAAUAAAAAAACCCCUGGUUUUCCUUGGGUGCUAUUGGGUUUUUCCAAUGCCUGCUGCUUUGCACCGUCUGUGUACAGGGUUGAGUGUGAUUAUCCAGACCUUGCACAUGUGAGGAAGCUUUAUGAGCUCUGAGAUCAGCACCAGAUGGUGGCUGGGUGCUCUCCUUUUCUCAACAUCCAUAGGAUGCCCAGCUAGCAGGAAGUGGAUGCAGCCCCCAGCAAUACAAGACAGGAGAGAAGAAGCAGGCUGUUCAGCAGGGCUGGUGGCAGAGUUGGCCCUGACCCUCAGGUAUGGUCUAGCAGAGAGGCAUGAAGAUCCUACACAAUCAGACUCUUUAAAGUCUAUAGAAAAAUGUCAACUGCCCCAUGCCGGAAAGUCACUCAAGGGGCCUUGCUUAUUAUGGUUAUUAUUACGUUUGUUAUGGUAAGAUGCUAUAGCAUAGUUUUGUAUGAUAUGAGUUCAGUUGUUAAAAAUUACCUUAAAAUGCAAAAUGCUGAGCCUGGUUCUCAUCUCUCCACCUUCUCCAAUCAAGAACAUCAAGGAAACAUGUGAGGCCAUCUCUGAAUGGCAACGUGCAGCACCAGUAACAAUGAUGUGGAAAUUAGCCUGAGGUUCACAAACAUUUGAAUGCAUUGGUGCUUUUGCCUUUGAACUUGUUUUUUAAUCACCUUCAGCUUCAUAAAAUUAUUCGUGGUACUUA
Pipra filicauda (Wire-tailed manakin) is the source of this 7380-nucleotide long non-coding RNA. RefSeq lists it as uncharacterized. The record is from RefSeq and is a predicted model, not a curated record. The transcript has 3 exons. NCBI's taxonomy places the organism in Eukaryota, Metazoa, Chordata, Aves, Passeriformes, Pipridae.